This 782-nucleotide ribosomal RNA is filed under the name uncultured bacterium. RNAcentral's name for it is "bacterial SSU rRNA". It matches the Rfam family "Bacterial small subunit ribosomal RNA", at positions 8 to 795 of the family's 1533-position model. The record is from RNAcentral.
AGAGUUUGAUCCUGGCUCAGAUUGAACGCUGGCGGCAUGCCUAACACAUGCAAGUCGAACGCGAAAGGUUUUCGGAUUGAGUAGCGUGGCGGACGGGUGAGUAAUGCGUGGGAAUCUGCCUGGCAGAGGGGGAUAACCCGGGGAAACUCGGGCUAAUACCGCAUACGCCUACGGGGGAAAGGGGGCUUCGGCUCUUGUUGCCAGAUGAGCCUAUGCGAUUAGCUUGUUGGUGAGGUAAUGGCUCACCAAGGCGACGAUCCGUAGCUGGUCUGAGAGGAUGAUCAGCCACAUCGGGACUGAGACACGGCCCGAACUCCUACGGGAGGCAGCAGUGGGGAAUAUUGGACAAUGGGCGAAAGCCUGAUCCAGCCCAUGCCGCGUGUGUGAAGAAGGCUUUCGGGUUGUAAAGCACUUUCAGUGAGGAAGAAAGCCUUGGGGCUUAAUACCCCCAAGGGACGACAUCACUNCACAGAAGAAGCACCGGCUAACUCCGUGCCAGCAGCCGCGGUAAUACGGAGGGUGCGAGCGUUAAUCGGAAUUACUGGGCGUAAAGCGCGCGUAGGCGGCGUGAUAAGCCGGUUGUGAAAGCCCCGGGCUCAACCUGGGAACGGCAUCCGGAACUGUCAGGCUANAGUGCAGGAGAGGAAGGUAGAAUUCCCGGUGUAGCGGUGAAAUGCGUAGAGACGGGAGGAAUACCAGUGGCGAAGGCGGCCUUCUGGACUGACACUGACGCUGAGGUGCGAAAGCGUGGGUAGCAAACAGGAUUAGAUACCCUGGUAGUC